UACGUAGGUGGCGAGCGUUGUCCGGAUUUACUGGGCGUAAAGGGAGCGUAGGCGGACUUUUAAGUGAGAUGUGAAAUACCCGGGCUCAACUUGGGUGCUGCAUUUCAAACUGGAAGUCUAGAGUACAGGAGGGGAAAGUGGAAUUCCUAGUGUAGCGGUGAAAUGCGUAGAGAUUAGGAAGAACACCAGUGGCGAAGGCGACUUUCUGGACUGUAACUGACGCUGAGGCUCGAAAGCGUGGGGAGCAAACAGGAUUAGAUACCCGCGUAGUCCCUGAG
RNAcentral lists this ribosomal RNA (278 nucleotides) under uncultured prokaryote. RNAcentral describes it as "partial 16S ribosomal RNA". It matches the Rfam family "Bacterial small subunit ribosomal RNA", at positions 524 to 801 of the family's 1533-position model. The record is from RNAcentral.